Hemicordylus capensis (graceful crag lizard) is the source of this 8524-nucleotide long non-coding RNA. RefSeq lists it as uncharacterized. Lineage: Eukaryota; Metazoa; Chordata; Lepidosauria; Squamata; Cordylidae. The record is from RefSeq and is a predicted model, not a curated record. The transcript is spliced from 6 exons.
UGAAAAGCCUUCGGUGCGCAUGGGCGCCUUAUAAGAGCUCCGCUGGUGCCUCUGCAGCACCCCUCGCGGCAGGAAGGGGCAUGCUGCGCCGUGGAUGACGUCAAGGGGCUGGUGGUGAAGGCGGGAACAGGCAGGCUGUCACACACACCGAAUCAGAUGUUAUAAUGCUGGAAGAGGAGAGAGCAGUCUGUAUUUCAGGUAUCAUCAAGUGUCUCAAGAGGUAUAUUUUCACAUAACUGUUUCUUCAUACAUCAUUUAGACCAGAUAAAAAUCAAAGCACAUUCUAAAGCAAGCAGAUGACACAAACUUACAUCCAGCGAUGGCUCCGGCAUGUCAGAUGCUCCCUGCCCACCAGCCUGACCUUCUAAGGCUGAGGAGGGGUUAAAGGCCAGGUCAUUGUGUGGAUGGUUGCUAGAAGCGGCCUGUGGUGGCUGCCGGGACUGCUGGGUAGGAGGACCGCUGUGAUGUAAUGGCUGCCCUGACUGGCUGCUGGGAUGAGGCAUCCCUUGCAAACUAACUUCAGCAAGAUGAGAAAAAGUAAAUGCAUGAAUACUGGAAACAAAAAAAUGUGCUCUAAUUUCAACUGGUAUACAGAAACAAAAACUAUAGCAUGAGCAGCACAAUGCAAAUCAACAGAAACUAUGCAGAAGUUUUAUGGGCUUUGCUUUUCACUGACUCCACCAAUGGCACCUUUUUCUAUGGGCCCAAGUCCAGAGCCCUACACUCUUCCUUCAUUUGCAGUUCCAGCAGCGCCGCCAGGAAUCUCCUCCCCUUCCGCACAGCAUUCAGACAGUCAGAGGAGCUGCCAUACUGGCCCUUUAAGCAAGCGCUAGAGUGGAGCAUGCUUAGCUGUCUUCAGCUCUUUCAGCCCAGCACACCAGCUCUUCCAGUCCAGCAGGGGAGAGGUGAGGGCUGGUGUGUGUGUGUGUGUGUGUGUGUGUGUGUGUGUGUGUGUGUGUGUGUGUGAAAGUCAUGUAUUCUCAAUUUUCAGAUGUGCAUAUUCUCUUUUUCCCCUCCCACUUUUUCUUCCACUUGUCUUUCUUUCUCUUUCCUUCCUUCCACUUGUCUCUUGUCUUCCUUUCCUUUCUCUCCUUUCUUCCUUUCUCCUUCCCUCCCUCCUUCUACUUCUCUCUCCCUCUCCCACCUUUCCUUUUAUCUGUCCAUCCCCCACUGACUGACUGACUGACUGACUGCAUGUAUGGAUGCUUAGCAGGAAAGUUGCCAUAAAAUACAUUAGGUGCUCUACAAAUAACAGAGUUGCCUCUUCUUUCCUUUCCUUCCUUCUGUGUUUCUCUCCUUCCUGCUUUUCUGCUUCUACUUCACAUAUAUAUAUUUUAAAACCUGUAUACUGGGGGGACCAUAAGGUCAUGACAUACAGACUCUGCAAAAACCUAGCUACACUACUGGACUCCACAUCUCUAUUAGAUGUCCUCUGACAACUAAAUUGCCCUGUGGAUUAGGAGUCUCUAGCUUGAAAUCAGAACUACUAGCACAGUUCCUCCUGUAGUAUAAAACUACCCAUAGAGUUGUUUCUUAUAUACUGCAGAACUGUAAUGUCUUAAGUAUGUUUCUGUUGGCUAGUAUUCUAUGGAUUGUGGUAGAAAUGUCCUGUGCCUUUUUUCCACAAGUACAUCUAAUAAUUUGUUUUAAUUAAUUCAAAAAUUUCUGUUAAGCUACUCCCCAAUCUUUUCAAAUUUUUCAAAUUGCCCUGUCUUUGUACAAAUAUAUUUAUAUAAACCACCAGAGAACCAAUUUUUUGAAAUGGACUGUAAAUGAAUAAAUAAGCCUAGUUUAAAAUUCAUUCAUGUACAAACUUACUACUUUGUGUACCCUCAUGGGACCAUUGGCUACUCUUCAUUCUGACAAUAGAACUUCCCAUUAAAGAAAAAUAAUCCUUAAAGAUGACAAUUUCUGUUAAUGACAGAAUAAAAUGUGUAGAUGGAUUUUAAACAGUUGAAAUAUUAAGAGUACUGUCGGUGCUUCCUGUUGAUACAUAAGGAUUUUACAGUAAAUUUUGUCAAGAUAUAUUUUCCUGCACAUUGUUUGUGACUCUCAAAUUGUAGAAUCACAUAUAUAAGAUUUAAUUUUGAGCAUAAAAAACCUUAAAAGGCUCUAACAGAAUUACUGCCCGGCAUUGUUUGGAAGGUAGAAAAUCAGCCUUGUGUAUUUUGGGUAAAAUACAGGUGUCCUGGACUUCUGAAAUACUCUGAUUAAUUUAUAGAUUGAAUUGCACAGAAAGUAUAUGAUACUGAAUAGUCAAUCAAUGAUUUUCCCUCCUCAUAAUCCAGAAUUACUAGAGAUUUCUCAGACUGGGGAAUCUACUGCUGGAAGAAGUGGUGUAAGUUAGGACGAGAGUAUAUAAAGUGCAUAUAAAUGAAUAUAAGUGUAAAGUGUGCCAUCAAGUCAAUUUCUACUCCUGGUGCCCACAGAGCCCUUUGAUUUUCUUUGGUAGAAUGCAGGAGGGGUUUACUAUUGCUUCCUCCUGCGCAGUGUGAGAUGAUGCCUUGCAGCAUCUUCCUAUAUCGCUGCUGUAUAUAGUAGCAGCAGGGAUUUGAACCAGCAACCUUCUGCUUGUUAGUCAAGCAUUUCCCCGCUGCGCCACUUAAGGUGACAUGUAAAUAAGCAUAAAUCCGAGUAAAUCAGGGCUGUUCGCAUUGCUGCUUUUUAUUAUGGCUGAUUAUAUUUCAUUACAGUUUUUCAAAUAGUGGUUUGUUCACACAGCUGGCUCCCCUCAAUCCAUCCCACCCAUUUCAGGCCAACAGGGUUGUGGAGGAGGCCCCCUGCCUCCUGCUUCCUAUUGGUGCAAUCACCUGUGCCCAGGUAGUGAUGAGAAUGGGGAGAUUACAUGUGUGUACACAUGUGUGGUGCCUGUGGAUUCCCCCCAAAUGUAAUUUUAUGACAUAUAUAUAUAUAUAUAUAUAUAUAUAUAUAUAUAUAUAUAUCCAUCCCCCUGGUAUUCUUGCACUGCUUGCUAGAUAACUGCUUGCUAGAUCAAUGGAAAGCUCCAGGUACUGUAAUGGAUUACAUGGAGUAUUAUUACAUGGAACUCUUGACCAGAAAUAGACUACAGGUUGCAAAUCUGCCCAGCAAUGGAAUUGAGAAGGGUGGCAGGCAGAGCCAACACUCCCCAAAGUCACUCCCAGGCAGGUAGCCACACCUCCAUCUCAUGUUUAUCUCAGGAGUCUCUAUAUACGGCUCCAAAAAAAUGCUGGAGUAUUGCACACAACCAUUUUCAACCCUUCCACAAAGGGCAACUUUUUAAAGACAUGUAUAUUACACAUUAAGGGCCAAACAUCAUUACAAAGCUGAAUAAUGCUGCUGGCUGUAUGAACAGCAACUUGCUGUUAUCGUAUUGAAAUCACUGUAAACCCCGCCCCCCCCCUUGACUAACAUGGAGGCAGUGUGGGAUUUUUGGGGGCCCCCUCAGUAUUAUCUUCUAUGGUUCCUCCAAACCAUGCCCAAAGCCCAAACCAACUACUGGGAAGAAAAGUUUUUUGUUUAAUGGAGUUUGCCGUUUGCUAUAUUGGUGGCAGGAAAAAAACCGCUGGCUUUGUGGCAUGUGAUGUUAGCAGCAGGAUUCAAUUCAGCUUUUUGGAAUGAUUUUUGAAGUACAAGAGAAUGUUAAAUUGGAGUACUGACUCACAAGAACUGAGGAUAAUGGCCAAGUAUCUAGGUUCCUGUUAAAAGUAUGUCGGGGGGGAAAUCCCAUUUGAGGGGAAAACUUCAAAGGACUUAAUGUCGCCGAUUCAGAUGGAACCUGCUGUUGUGAUUAACAUCUAAUGAACCUGUAAAGCCAUAGUCUGUGCAAAUGAGUAUAGAUAUAUCCGUUUCAAGGAGAAAGCGUUACACCUGGAGUAUUAGCAGCAAGAAAGACAAUGCCUGCUUGAAAAAUAGCAGCUGCUACUAGAAGAAGAGAGGCUACAACUGGAAGGAAAGCACCUGCAGACAGAAGAGGAGCAGCAAGGAAGCCAGUGACAUAAUGAGGAGGAGCUAGCCCUGAGUCAAAAUCAACCAUGCAGCAGGGUGACACCCAAGGAUUUUACCAUUUAUGUCCAAAGAGAAGAUCCACAAGGGUUUUUGUCCACAUUCAAAAAGCUGUGAAGAACUGGGACCUUCAAGAAGAGGAUUUUAUGGGAUUUAUUCCAAAUAUCACCAAAGGGGAUUUAUCAGAAGCUUAUAACAGCAUGUCUGAGAAGUGCUAUGAUCAUAUGUGUCUUUUAACGAGUUAGUGUAUACAAUAUUUUUUUCAGAAAAAGGUUUAAGAAUCUGCAUCCCCAUGGUGCAAAAUCUAUAGUGGAAUUUGAAGCUAAGCUCAAGGAUGCUCUGUAGAAGUGGGUAAAGGGGCAAAGGUUGAUAUGGUAGAAAAAUAUGGUUGAUUUAAUUGGGUUAGACCAGUUUUACUCUAUCAGAUUCCACAGGAUAUUAAAAUUAAAGUAUAAGAUCAGGUUCUUGAAACCCUAACAAAAGCUGCAAACAUUGCAUGCCAGUUAAUACUGAACUGGGAAGAUGAUCAGAAAUGCUAGAUUUGAAGGGAAUAAAAAGGUAUAUUAUACCAGCAAGGGGAGAGAAAAAAAGAAUUUUCUCUUCAACAGGAGAAAGGUUUCCUAUUUAAAGAAAGGGCAAACCCUCAGAGAUCUUUUGAAUGUCCUAAAUGGCAAGAAAAUGUAUGCUCUAGUUGUGGGCAGAAAGUCAAAAGGCAAUGCCCUAAUCAAAAGCCAGUGCCUCAAAGAAAGCUCUUAGCAACUUUGCCCUAGGAAUCAUCACUCCUCUUUCAUUAUUUCCUUGGGCUUCCCUCUUGUUGACCUCAAUUAUGAUCCCCCUUUGGGGGGGCGCGUGUUUCCUCCCUUCAUCAGUUCUCCCUGUUCCUUUUCAGGCACCUGCACCAACUGAACUUCUCCCCAGCAGUCAUCCCUCCGCCCCGCCCUUCUCAAAAGUAACAGUGGCUUCAACAGUCCAGUUGAAGCCACACUCCCCAACAACUAUGACCCUUCCCUCCUUCACCAACGGUUGCCAAGUCCAAACCUUUAUCCCAAGCAACCAACACAAACAAUUACAUCAACUGUAUUGCUAGCAGCCAACCGUAUUAGAUCAUCAGCCAUCCCAUAUGUUAAAAACAUUACUGAACAGAGAUAGCAGGCAAGCUUUUCUGCCUGAAGAAGGGUGAAACUACUAAUUGAAAUAAAAUAAUAUAAUGAGAAGGGGAAGAAGAAACCUCCAACAGGUGCAGAGGGCGCCUUUCUCAUGUAAGUGCAUGGCAGUGUGUGAGCAUGGAGGCCACUCUGGUGGAGAGUAGCUGUGGAACCCUGGCCAGUAUCUCUCUCCUUCAGCAGGGCAGCAUCAGCCUGAGAGCACAUGGCUCAGAGAAUCAUAGGGCAGGCAGCAUCCUGCCCUAUUGGGGUCUCAAAGUCCAAUUCCUCUCCUCCAGGCAGGCCUCCACAUGAGGUCCUAAUAGCCAGUCUCCCUCCUUGAGCUGGGCAGCAUCAGCUCACCGUGGCUAGUCGCCCUUCAGGCAGGCAGCAUCCGUAUGAAGACACAAGGGCCAGUCUUUCACGGAAGCAGAUCGUGGCAGCAGUGUGUGGGCUCUCUGGCCAUCACUGUCUCUCUCAUUGAAGGGGGAAGCAGCUCAUGGGCAGAGAAGCAGCAAGCAACGAAAGGAGGUGAGGUUGCAGGCAAGCACCCCAGUUAUGACAGGGCUUGUAUUUAUACCAAGUACCCCAAGUGGCCUGGUACCAAAAGAGGCAGAGAUAAUGCAGGCGGGCAUAGGGAUGCUGGCAAAAGCACAGAUAUAACAGGGUGACAUCCUGCAGAAUUUGCUGCGGCUGGGCAUAGUUUGAGAGAGGCAAACUGGGAGGCUGUACACGAGAAGGAGGCACUUGCACAAUGACUUAGUUUUCAGGCUUCAUCUUUCAGUGUGUGCCCUACGGGGUAGGGGGUGGGAGAAUCAGAAGACAAAAAAUGACCAGAUGGCAGGAGGCAAUGAAUGGACCCAUAGCAGCAAGAAAAGGCAGGCACUGGCCAGACGCUCUGUACAGUUGGGCUUCCACUUGUAGUCCAGUUGCAGCACAUGCUCUGGGGUGGGGGCAGCUUAGGAGAGAAAACCCAGGUGGUAGCUGUUGGACACAGAAGCAGUAGAAGGAGAUGAGCAGAGGGCAGUCAGCAUUUGGGCAAGAGUUGGGAGCCAGGGUAUGUAGGCAGAAGCAGCAAUGCUCACCUGGGACAUGGCAGUGCACUACUUGCCCCAAGUCUCAGAACAGCUCAGGGAACUCCAGUAAUGGAAAUGUCACCUUCAGGAACCUCAGCUCCUUCCUCCACCUAGGUGUCACUCGCAUUUAGUGCGGAUUCACAGGGUCUCCCCACUACAGAGAACAGUCUCAGGGCCUUCUGCCUGUGGCUUGAUCUUGUCCUGACCCGAGAAUUGGAGCUGAGGGAAGGAAGACUUGCUGCCUGUAGGACAUCCACUUGAUUCCACUCCCCUUCCAGCAUUUCUGCUCUGAGAUUAUUUUCAAGUGGGACUUUGUGCUGGGGUCUUCUAACAUCAUACCGGGGUGUAGGAAGGCUGAAGUGGGCCCAGAGACAAGAUUUUAAAAUCCCCACCCCCCGCUCACUGAAGCUCAGCUCAUGAAGUAAAGAAAUCUUCAAUGAAGAUGGUAACAAAAAGCAUAGUAAUUUUUUUAAUUCUCUCUCUCUCUCUCUCCCCCCCCCCAUGUGCCACUUUAAAAAAUUAGUUUUGUAAAUUGUGGACGAUGUAAGUCAUUUAAUGGAACUAGAGAAAGACAUGCUGUUCUGGUAGCUCCAGGUCUUAACACUCACAUCAAUUUUGGAGGAUGAAUACAACUGAAGGAAGCCCAGGCGGGUGCGCGGCUGGGGGAUUCAGUCAUGUGACUUGCCUCUGGGGGCCCCCCCAAGGCAGUGGGCCCCCAGACAACUGCCUCCCCUUACCCUAUUAUAGUUACAACCCUGCAUCAUACACAGGAGACCCUCUGCUUCCCAUACCUUCAGACUGGUGGAAGUGAUUUCACAGUACAGAAUUCUGGAGUGCUCCUAUCUUCCUGAGGUACUGUAACUGCCUUAUUCCUCAAGAGGGGUUGAAUACAAAAAAGGGUACCUGCCAUAUUCUUCUCGCUCCCAAGAUGCCUUACCAAACGGAAGUGGGAGCCCAGGCUGUAGUCACUAGGGAAAGCUGACGGAUCAGGGGAGAUGGGAGAUUUUUGGUAUCUAAUAACCUUUCCUCAUAAUGAAUCCCUAUGAGGAUUCAUUACACACCAAAGAGUCUAAACAACUCAAAAAUUCCUAAAAUAUAAACUGAGUAACCAGUGGCUUGUGGGGUGGUUGGAACAUGGGAUGCCACUAAUUCUCCACCCUGACCUGCAAAGCAGUGGGGCCAAAAUGAAUGAAGGUGUGUAAUGAAGAUGCCAAAGAAUCUAAGCACUGCAAUAUUUCUUUAAAGCAAAACAAAACAUGAGUAUCCCACCGCCUUGUGGGGUGUGUGUCUGUAGCUGGCACAUGACAGUUGGCACUGUAAUGACAGUCAAAAUGAACAGAAGAAAUGAAAGUGUGCAAUGAAUCCUCAUAGGGAUUCAUUAUGAGGGAAAGUUAUUAUACACCAAAGAAUCCAAACAUUUGAAAAAUAAUGACCGCACAUUUUGCUCCACAACUCCACUUCUACAAGGGCUAGAGCUUAGCUUUUUUAUUUUUUAAUGAAAGCUGGGGAUCCAUGUUAGGGUUAGGAUAGGGUGACUUUGAAUCCCUGUUAUUUCCUAUGGCGGAAAUAUACAGAAUCAGUAAAAACUAAUGAAAUCCAUUAAAAAUCAACCAAAUGCCCCACCACCUUGAAAUUUGGAUGGUAGGUGGCACCCAUGGGGACCUACCCACCAACCAAAUUUGGUGCUCCUAGGGCCUUGUUAAGUGGUCCAAAUUGAUCCAAAUCUGAAUCAAAUCAAAUACAGAAGGAAUCUGAGGGAUUUGUGCACAUCCCUACUGUUCGUGCUCUCUCUCUCUCUCUCUUUCCCACACCCCCCCCCCCAAAUAAAAAUAAAACUUGCAGUCAAAGCAAAAACCACCUAAGCAAAAUUAAGGUAGAAGGAGUGAAAUGCAGAAACAAAAUGCAAAUUCAAGCACUGGUGUGAGAGAGAAAAAACAAGCCUGGCACUCUGCAGAUUUUAAUGUAAGAACUCAUUUUUAAGCAUCAUUCAUGAAUAUAUUUCUACACAAAGUUUGUAUCUUAGUCUCAAUGUACAUUUCUGCAUUUGUAGUUUUAAAAAGAGAAUAAAAUAACUUCCAUGGGGUGGCCAUUGUAGGCUGCUACAGAACAAAAUACAACAAGAAUCUUGUGCUACUUUAAAGACUAAUCUUACUAUAAAUGUGCUAGUCUUUCAUGUUUGUAUAUACAGAUCUUUAACAUUGUAAUGUGAGUAUAUUGUUGUGAUAUGUUUGAAAUGAUUUUUAUACUUGCUUUGGAUGAAAAAUUGUAUCCUACUCAGAACACACCAGACGUACCAAAUAACCUCAAUACAUAAGUUCCUUA